CACGGAGGGUGCAAGCGUUAUCCGGAUUCACUGGGUUUAAAGGGUGCGUAGGAGGGCAGGUAAGUCAGUGGUGAAAUCUCCAAGCUUAACUUGGAAACUGCCGUUGAUACUAUCUGUCUUGAAUAUUGUGGAGGUGAGCGGAAUAUGUCAUGUAGCGGUGAAAUGCUUAGAUAUGACAUAGAACACCAAUUGCGAAGGCAGCUCACUACACAAUCAUUGACUCUGAGGCACGAAAGCGUGGGGAUCAAACAGG
This 253-nucleotide ribosomal RNA is filed under the name uncultured bacterium. RNAcentral describes it as "partial 16S ribosomal RNA". It matches the Rfam family "Bacterial small subunit ribosomal RNA", at positions 524 to 776 of the family's 1533-position model. The record is from RNAcentral.